GACGAACCGUGCGAACGUUAUUCGGAAUCACUGGGCUUAAAGCGCGUGUAGGCGGACAUGUGCGUCGGUCGCUGAAAGCCCCCGGCUCAACCGGGGAACGGGCGCCGAUACGACGUGUCUGGAGGGAGGUAGGGGGAGCCGGAACUUCCGGUGGAGCGGUGAAAUGCGUUGAGAUCGGAAGGAACGCCCGUGGCGAAAGCGGGCUCCUGGACCUCACCUGACGCUGAGACGCGAAAGCUAGGGGAGCAAACGGG
This 254-nucleotide ribosomal RNA is filed under the name uncultured Singulisphaera sp. Its description in RNAcentral is "partial 16S ribosomal RNA". It matches the Rfam family "Bacterial small subunit ribosomal RNA", at positions 524 to 776 of the family's 1533-position model. The record is from RNAcentral. Lineage: Bacteria; Pseudomonadati; Planctomycetota; Planctomycetia; Isosphaerales; Isosphaeraceae.